This 253-nucleotide ribosomal RNA is filed under the name uncultured bacterium. RNAcentral's name for it is "partial 16S ribosomal RNA". It matches the Rfam family "Bacterial small subunit ribosomal RNA", at positions 524 to 776 of the family's 1533-position model. The record is from RNAcentral.
UACGAAGGGUGCAAGCGUUACUCGGAAUUACUGGGCGUAAAGCGUGCGCAGGCGGUUGUGCAAGACCGAUGUGAAAUCCCCGGGCUUAACCUGGGAAUGGCAUUGGUGACUGCACGGCUAGAGUGUGUCAGAGGGGGGUAGAAUUCCACGUGUAGCAGUGAAAUGCGUAGAGAUGUGGAGGAAUACCGAUGGCGAAGGCAGCCCCCUGGGAUAACACUGACGCUCAUGCACGAAAGCGUGGGGAGCAAACAGG